This 497-nucleotide ribosomal RNA is filed under the name uncultured bacterium. RNAcentral describes it as "partial 16S ribosomal RNA". It matches the Rfam family "Bacterial small subunit ribosomal RNA", at positions 28 to 507 of the family's 1533-position model. The record is from RNAcentral.
GAUGAACGCUGGCGGCGUGCCUAAUACAUGCAAGUCGAGCGAACAGACGAGGAGCUUGCUCCUCUGACGUUAGCGGCGGACGGGUGAGUAACACGUGGAUAACCUACCUAUAAGACUGGGAUAACUUCGGGAAACCGGAGCUAAUACCGGAUAAUAUAUUGAACCGCAUGGUUCAAUAGUGAAAGACGGUUUUGCUGUCACUUAUAGAUGGAUCUGCGCCGCAUUAGCUAGUUGGUACGGUCACGGCUUACCAAGGCAACGAUGCGUAGCCGACCUGAGAGGGUGAUCGGCCACACUGGAACUGGGACACGGUCCAGACUCCUACGGGAGGCAGCAGUAGGGAAUCUUCCGCAAUGGGCGAAAGCCUGACGGAGCAACGCCGCGUGAGUGAUGAAGGUCUUCGGAUCGUAAAACUCUGUUAUUAGGGAAGAACAAAUGUGUAAGUAACUAUGCACGUCUUGACGGUACCUAAUCAGAAAGCCACGGCUAACUACGUG